Molecule: non-coding RNA, 58 nt
Organism: Tupaia belangeri (northern tree shrew)
Lineage: Eukaryota; Metazoa; Chordata; Mammalia; Scandentia; Tupaiidae
Source: Ensembl
AAGAAAGAUAAUUGAACUGCUAACUCAAUACCCCGUGCCUAACAGCACGGCUUUCUUA